CCUACGGGGAGCAGCAGUCGAGAAUCAUUCGCAAUGGGGGAAACCCUGAUGGUGCAACGCCGCGUGGGGGAAUGAAGCUCUUCGGUUGUUAAAUCCCUGUCAUAGGGGAGCGCAUUAAAAAGAUAGUACCACAAGAGGCAGGGACAGCUACCUCUGUGCCAGCACCCGCGGUAAUACAGAGGUAUCAAGGGUUGUUCUGAAUCACUGGGCGUAACGCGUGGGCAGGCUGUGUGACAAGUCAAGGGUGAAAUCCCCGCGCGCAACGUGGGAACUGCAUUUGAAACUGGCAAACUGGAGUGUGUGAGAGGAAAGGGGAAUUCCAGGUGUAGGAGUGAAAUGCGUAGAUAUUUGGAGGAACAUCAGUGGCGAAGGCGACUAUCUGGCACAUAACUGACGCUGAGGAGCGAAAGCGUGGGUAGCAAACAGGAUUAGAUACCCGGGUAGUC
This 446-nucleotide ribosomal RNA is filed under the name uncultured bacterium. Its description in RNAcentral is "partial 16S ribosomal RNA". It matches the Rfam family "Bacterial small subunit ribosomal RNA", at positions 338 to 795 of the family's 1533-position model. The record is from RNAcentral.